UAUAAGCUAUUAAGGGCUAAUGGUGGAUGCCUUGACUGUAAGAGGCGAUGAAAGACGUAUUAGGCUGCGAUAAGCCUCGGGGAGCUGCCAAAGAGCUUUGAUCCGGGGAUUUCUGAAUGGGGCAACCCAAUAUAAUGAGAAUUAUAUUACCCUACGGGGAGCGAACCUGGUGAAGUGAAACAUCUCAGUAGCCAGAGGAAGAGAAAUCAAUUGAGAUUCCGUCAGUAGCGGCGAGCGAACGCGGAUUAGGACAAACCCAAUGCUUGCAUUGGGGGUUGUAGGACUAUAAUGUGUAGUUAAAGAGAAUAGAUGAAUUAGUUGGAAAGCUAGAGCAUAGAAGGUGAUACUCCUGUAAUUAAAAUUCUCAAUAACGCUAAUAGUAUCCUGAGUAGGUCGGAACACGUGAUAUUUUGACUGAAGCUGGGGGGACCACCCUCCAAUCCUAAAUACUACUUACAGAUCGAUAGUGAACAAGUACCGUGAGGGAAAGGUGAAAAGUACUGCAGCGAGCAGAGUGAAAUAGAACCUGAAACCAUUAGCUUACAAUCAUUCAGAGCCCUAUGAUUUAUCAGGGUGAUGGACUGCCUUUUGCAUAAUGAGCCUGCGAGUUGUGGUGUCUGGCAAGGUUAAGCCAAGUGCGAAGCCGUAGCGAAAGCGAGUCUUAAUAGGGCGACAUAGUCAGAUGCUGCAGACCCGAAACGAAGUGAUCUAUCCAUGAGCAGGUUGAAGCUGGUGUAAGAGCCAGUGGAGGACCGAACCCGCUGACGUUGAAAAGUCUUGGGAUGACUUGUGGAUAGGGGUGAAAGGCCAAUCAAACUUCGUGAUAGCUGGUUCUCUCCGAAAUAUAUUUAGGUAUAGCCUUGUGUUGUAGCAUAUAGGGGUAGAGCACUGAAUGGGCUAGGGCUGCUUACCGCGGUACCAAACCCUAUCAAACUAUGAAUACUAUAUGUGGAAUCACAGGAGUCAGGCGGUGGGUGAUAAAAUCCGUCGUCAAGAGGGGAACAACCCAGACUAACAGCUAAGGUCCCUAAGUUACAUCUAAGUGGAAAACGAUGUGGAGUUACUGUGACAACCAGGAGGUUGGCUUAGAAGCAGCCAUCCUUUAAAGAAAGCGUAACAGCUCACUGGUCUAGUGAUUCUGCGCGGAAAAUAUAACGGGGCUAAGAUGUACACCGAAGCUUUAGAUUCAAUUUUUAAUUGAGUGGUAGGAGAGCGUUCUAUUCAGCGUUGAAGGUAUACCGGUAAGGAGUGCUGGAGCGGAUAGAAGUGAGCAUGCAGGCAUGAGUAGCGUUAAAACAGGUGAGAAUCCUGUUCGCCGAAAACCCAAGGUUUCCUACGCGAUGCUCGUCAUCGUAGGGUUAGUCGGGUCCUAAGUCGAGUCCGAAAGGGGUAGACGAUGGCAAAUUGGUUAAUAUUCCAAUACCAACAUAUAAGCGCGAUGUGGGGACGCAUAGAGUUAAUCGAGGUCACGGAUGGAAGUGUGGCUCGAAGGAUGUAGGUUGUUAAGUAGGCAAAUCCGCUUAACGUUAGACCGAGAUCUUACAGGCUCUUGACACUCUUCGGAGGAGAUGGAGAAUCGAUGAUACUGUCGUGCCAAGAAAAGCCACUAAGUAUAUUAUAUGUUGCCCGUACCGUAAACCGACACAGGUGGGUGGGAUGAGUAUUCUAAGGCGCGUGGAAGAACCCUCUUUAAGGAACUCUGCAAACUAGCACCGUAUCUUCGGUAUAAGGUGUGCCUACUUUGGUAUAUGGACUUGCUCCAAAAAGCUAAAGAGGUUGCAACAAAGAGUCCCUCCCGACUGUUUACCAAAAACACAGCACUUUGCUAACACGUAAGUGGAUGUAUAAGGUGUGACGCCUGCCCGGUGCUCGAAGGUUAAUUGAUGAUGUCAGCGCAAGCGAAGCAUUUGAUCGAAGCCCGAGUAAACGGCGGCCGUAACUAUAACGGUCCUAAGGUAGCGAAAUUCCUUGUCAGUUAAAUACUGACCUGCAUGAAUGGCGUAACGAGAUGGGAGCUGUCUCAAAGAGGGAUCCAGUGAAAUUGUAGUGGAGGUGAAAAUUCCUCCUACCCGCGGAAAGACGGAAAGACCCCGUGCACCUUUACUACAGCUUGACACUGUAGCUUGGAUAUUCAUGUGCAGGAUAGGUGGGAGGCUAUGAUGACUAGACGCCAGUAGAGUCGGAGCCAUCCUUGAGAUACCACCCUUGAAUAUUUGAGUUACUAACUGCGAUGAGUUAACCUCAUUCAGGACAAUGUCUGGUGGGUAGUUUGACUGGGGCGGUCGCCUCCUAAAUAGUAACGGAGGCUUACAAAGGUUAGUUCAGAUGGGUUGGAAAUCCAUCGUUGAGUAUAAUGGCAUAAACUAGCUUGACUGUGAGACCAACAAGUCGAACAGAGACGAAAGUCGGUCAUAGUGAUCCGGUGGUUCUGCGUGGAAGGGCCAUCGCUCAAAGGAUAAAAGGUACGCCGGGGAUAACAGGCUGAUCUCCCCCAAGAGCUCACAUCGACGGGGAGGUUUGGCACCUCGAUGUCGGCUCAUCGCAUCCUGGGGCUGUAGUCGGUCCCAAGGGUAUGGCUGUUCGCCAUUUAAAGCGGUACGCGAGCUGGGUUCAGAACGUCGUGAGACAGUUCGGUCCCUAUCUUCCGUGGGCGUAGGAAAGUUGAAGAGAUUUGUCCCUAGUACGAGAGGACCGGGAUGAACCAACCACUGGUGUACCAAUUGUUCUGCCAAGAGCAUCGUUGGGUAGCCACGUUGGGAUGUGAUAAGAGCUGAAAGCAUCUAAGCUCGAAGCCAACUCUAAGAUGAACUUUCCCUGAAGUUCCCAGCAAGACUAGCUGGUUGAUAGGCUGGAUGUGUAAUGGGUGUAAGCCCUUUAGCUGACCAGUACUAAUAGAACGUUUGGCUUAUUUUAA
Molecule: ribosomal RNA, 2914 nt
Filed under: Aliarcobacter cibarius
Lineage: Bacteria; Pseudomonadati; Campylobacterota; Epsilonproteobacteria; Campylobacterales; Arcobacteraceae
Description: Arcobacter cibarius 23S ribosomal RNA
Rfam family: Bacterial large subunit ribosomal RNA
Source: RNAcentral